GACUUAAAGUAAAUGAGGUAGAAUCUUACAAAAUGAACAUCAUUCUUCUCCCUUCUGGCAGAAGUACAACAGGGAAAAAAGAAGAUAAACUACAACCAUAACACAUAUUUCUGGGUUUGCCAGCUAUGAAAGGCACAAAGCAAUUGAAUUCACAAAUAUAUCAGACACUGACUGAUUUUAGAAUUAACUUUUUAGAGUUUAAAAUUUGAUUAUUUAGUGGUAUAAGUAAUUUAACACAUC
Molecule: long non-coding RNA, 240 nt
Filed under: Bos taurus (domestic cattle)
Lineage: Eukaryota; Metazoa; Chordata; Mammalia; Artiodactyla; Bovidae
Description: long non-coding RNA NONBTAT001472
Source: RNAcentral